GCAAGUCGAGCGGAAACGACAUUAUUGAUUCUUCGGAGGAUUUAAUGGGCGUCGAGCGGCGGACGGGUGAGUAAUGCCUAGGAAAUUGCCUUGAUGUGGGGGAUAACCAUUGGAAACGAUGGCUAAUACCGCAUAAUGCCUACGGGCCAAAGAGGGGGAUCUUCGGACCUCUCGCGUCAAGAUAAGCCUAGGUGAGAUUAGCUAGUUGGUGAGGUAAUGGCUCACCAAGGCGACGAUCCCUAGCUGGUCUGAGAGGAUGAUC
RNAcentral lists this ribosomal RNA (262 nucleotides) under uncultured bacterium. RNAcentral describes it as "partial 16S ribosomal RNA". It matches the Rfam family "Bacterial small subunit ribosomal RNA", at positions 57 to 305 of the family's 1533-position model. The record is from RNAcentral.